GUCCUGCGUCGCGCCGCGUUCCGUUUCCGCAAACAAUAUUAUUAAAUAUUAUAAUUGCUUUACGAGGACGGCGCUUGGAUAAAACCGUCGCUUUCUGUGUACACGCCGUUCGCGUCGAAAAACCCCGACGGCUGUGAAAUUACGAAAUCAUGCACUUUAUCUCGGUGUAAUUCGCGUCGAGUGUCAACCGCGUUCCGUAUGAAACGUCUAACGUCUCGUUGCGUUCAAAACACAAUUAGCUAUACGCACACGCACACGCACGCACGCACACACACACACACAGCGAUCCGGCGUUUCCGGCGUAAAGAUGACGCGCGCCCGAUAAAAUAAAGAGAUCCCGAUUUCCCUUUAAUCGCGGCGUACGACAAUUUUGUAUUUUGUAUUUUUUUUUUUUUUUUUUUUUUUUUUUUUUUUUAUUAUUAUUACGUGUUUACCAAUACGAUUACGGUGUCGGGUUGUUUUUUUUUUUUUUUUCACGGCAUUACGAACGAAUAUCGUCCACAUCCGAGGUUUUGUAACAUCCGGGUAUCGAUUGCGUUCGUUCGGGAUUUCGGUCUUGUUCACUUUUCUUUUUUUUCGUCUGCGCCUACGCGUGAUUACGUCGGGCCCGGGCCCCUGCAGAUUCGGUAUCGCUGUACGUCGACAAAAAACGUUACCGUUAAAGCAAUAUGCGAUUUCGUCGGUCCGCAAGACGCACGUCGUCUCGAGUCGGACGUGCUGCUCUUUUAUCAGUCAUCGACAUUGUCGUUUACGACGGCGAAUGCCGAAUUCCGUUUUGGUCCCGGUGCGAAACGAUACGCAAACGCGUUUCGUUUGUGUUUUACGGCCGAAAUAAACGGCGGCGUCGCGGUGAGUCCUUUAACGGCGGCGGGUCCUUUCGUUUGUUCGAAACCGGGUAAAGUUUUCGAAACUGUCUGUCGGUUUUCUCAACCGCGAAGGCCCAAUCACGCCCGAGUGGCCGAGAGCUAUAACCGUUGCGAUUGUAUAGUUUUUUUUUUGUAAUGUCUACGCGAUUGUUCUAUUUGUUCGUAUCUCGACUUGCGGUAAUGCUUCUUGUUCAUUUGCAAAUACCCUGUACGCAUCCAGCUUAUCGUACGUCUACAAUGGCAUCACAACUUAAAAAGCUUCUAUUUCGAUUCCUAUAGUCUGCUUCGCUGUACGUCGUCGGUCUCGAUUGUAAAACUUUUUCUUUUCUUUUCUUUCCUUUUUUUUUUUUUUUAAUCAAAUAAGCGGAUGAGCAUUUUCAUUCAAUUAGGUAUAAAUAUUUCGGUUUAGAUUUAUUAGAUAGGCGCCGACAAGAAAAAAAAAUACGUGUCGAGAUUUGUUUCCGCAUGAAUAACUAUACGCACAUUACAGAUAAUAAUAUUAAUAUAAAAUUUCACUUCAAAUAAUACGUUUUUUUUUUCAUUACUCGUUUGUACAAAUGUAAAUCGGAAAGGCAAGGAACAUUAGGUUAUUUGAUUUACAUCUAUAGGCGACGAUAAAUUAUUGCUGACGAAAUACUUAAUUCUAGUGCGAAAUUCGGUUGAACGUGUUUUAAAAUGCCGUAAUUUGUACGAUCUUCAAAACCUUUUUUUUUUUUUUUUUUUUUUUUUUCCAAUAAUUAUAACUUAUAAUUAACCUCUUAUAAAAUUGUCAAGAUUUUCUGUGUAGCCAGAUAAUUUUAAUAGUUUAUCCAGAUAAAACCAAAUAACUAUAAAAAUAUUCGAAAACGUCAAAUGCUUUUAAGCUUUUUAAGUAGCUCAUAAACCGCCAGAUAGGCUUGAAAAUUAUUUUGCUGCGUCUAUAAACGUCUAUAUACGAGUUUUUUGUGUAAACGUCAGAUGUCUGAAAUUAUUUUUAACUGGAUCGCAAUAAAAAAAUAAAAUCCUUAAUAAAAGAAAUCUUUAUUUUCGUAAUUGUUUUGGUUUUUUUUUUUUCAGUCAUUAAGAAAAUCUUAUCAACUAGACAAAAUCUUCUCUCGGAAAAGACACUAGUCUUAAUAUUCGGAGCGAGAUUUCUGGUAAAAAAUAAAAAUCAAAACAAUUUAAAAGAAUGAAAUCAUAAACUUCGUGAUUAUUUAUGCGGUUGUUUCCUUUACGUUUUUUG
Molecule: non-coding RNA, 2088 nt
Organism: Cinara cedri
Lineage: Eukaryota; Metazoa; Arthropoda; Insecta; Hemiptera; Aphididae
Source: the annotation of a GenBank genome assembly